This 1492-nucleotide long non-coding RNA is filed under the name Ananas comosus (pineapple). RNAcentral's name for it is "long non-coding RNA (ACOM_LNC013003)". The record is from RNAcentral. Lineage: Eukaryota; Viridiplantae; Streptophyta; Magnoliopsida; Poales; Bromeliaceae.
UUGGAUGAGCUAGAGAUAGGUGAAAGUUACUUUUCUUGUGUAGUUAUGAAAUUAAAGUUAUCUCAGUUCUGUUAUUUAUUUGCCAUGAAAUGAAUUCUGCAAAAAUUAGAAGUGCGAGAGAUGAAUUAAUAUAUUAUUUCUUUUUUUUUUUACUUGUUUUGGUAAUUGAUUUUAAUCAGUUUGAGAUUUUCCGAAGUCAGCUACACUAUUUUGAAAAGUUUGAAUUUCGGCCGAAUGUGAAGUUACAGCGAACCAAACAACGAAAAUAAAUAUUUAUGGCCAAGACUCACUUUACUCCUCUCUAGUUUUGAUGAAAGAAACACAUCCAACUGUAUCAUUAGCAAUUAAGUGAAUUGAUAUUCAGGUUGUUAGAUAUAUCUAAAGUUUUUAUAUCAGAAGCUUUUUUCUUUAAAAUUUGAUUUCAAUUUGGUGAAUCAUUUAGUUAAGUUAGUUCUAGUUUUAUUGAAUUUUAGUUUUAUAAUUGGAAUUAUUCCUAAUCUUAUAUAAUUUAGCUUCUUUUAUUGUAUUUUGAGAGCUAAGAUUUUUUGAGUAAGGCUUUUUUUUUUUUUUUGGUACUUAACCUAACAUAAUAAAAUUACUGUUCUGUCCUCACCUGUGGAUACAUGUCUAAUCCUAUUUUAUUUUUGGAAAAACUUCAAAUACCAUCCCUGUAGUUUCACACUUUCUCACUUUAAUACCCUAUGGUUUAAAAUGUAUCAAUUUAGUGCCAUGUGAAUUCAUUUUUAUCUUUUUAUUAUCGAUUUCACUAAUUUUUUACGUCAAAUCUGUGACAAAGUUAAAACUAAAGGGUACGAAAGUGAAUAUUCAAUAAAUCUAGGUGGGGUAUCUGAAAUUUUUUGUAUAUAAUUUAACGAAAUAUUAACGGAAAAGCUAAUGAAAAGAUAAAAAUAAAACCACAUGACACUAACUUGAUACACUUUAAACCACAGAGUAUUAAAGUGAGAAAGUGCGAAACCACAGAUUGUUAGAUAUAUUCAGGACGUUAUCCAUUCUUGGACUACUUCCGUCCUAGCACGCUUAUUCUUAGCCUCUUGGGCCUAGCCACCGUCUAAAAUGCUCAAAAUGCUUAAGCCAUGUUAAGUGUUUAGCCCUAUUAUAUUUUAUAUAUAUGACUAUAUGAGGUUUUACAAUCCCCCCUUUAAUCUUUGACGUCCUCGUCAGACUCAGACUCACAAGUAUCAGGCGAUGUGAGACUUGUCUCGCUAGUCUUGCCAUUCCAAUCAUAACCGAGCCAAGACUCAUCUCACACUUUCGGCUGGUAAUUGACUCUAAUAUCAAUUGUGAUCCCUCAACUUCUUAGGGGGUCAAUUCAUUCUAGAACUACUCUCGUCCUAAUAAGUUUAACUCUCUAACCUUUUGGGUCUAAUCACCGCCCAAAGUACUUAAACUGGAUUAAGAAUUUAACCCUAUUAUAUUUUAUAUAUAAGACUAUCUGGGGUCUCACAAUAAUCGUAUAAAAUUUGGAACCUAU